GGAUGUGAGGGCGAUCUGGCUGCGACAUCUGUCACCCCAUUGAUCACCAGGGUUGAUUUGGCUGAUCUAGCUGGCUAGGCAGGUGUCCCCUUCCUCCCUCAAUGCUCCAUGUGCAUCCCUCCCGAAGCUGCACACUCAGUAGAAGAGGACGACCACCACCUCGGUCAAGGGUAUAGGAGUAGCUGUGCUCCCCUGCUAGAACCUCCAAACAAGCUCUCAAAAAAGAAAUAUGGUGGGUUCCACCUAUUUUUAUAACUUGAUUUAUUAUAUACUCAAAGUACAUGCAAUAGAUGCAAAUGGUGGAAGAGUAUAACAAU
Molecule: small nuclear RNA, 317 nt
Filed under: Chinchilla lanigera (long-tailed chinchilla)
Lineage: Eukaryota; Metazoa; Chordata; Mammalia; Rodentia; Chinchillidae
Description: 7SK RNA (ENSCLAG00000021563.1)
Rfam family: 7SK RNA
About the family: 7SK was discovered as an abundant small nuclear RNA in the mid-70s but a possible function has only recently been suggested. Two independent studies have found that 7SK RNA binds the CDK9/cyclin T complex (known as elongation factor P-TEFb). P-TEFb activates transcription by phosphorylating the C-terminal domain of RNA polymerase II.
Source: Rfam by way of RNAcentral